Molecule: ribosomal RNA, 453 nt
Filed under: uncultured bacterium
Lineage: Bacteria
Description: bacterial SSU rRNA
Rfam family: Bacterial small subunit ribosomal RNA
Source: RNAcentral
UACGGGAGGCAGCAGUGGGGAAUAUUGCACAAUGGGCGCAAGCCUGAUGCAGCCAUGCCGCGUGUAUGAAAAAGGCCUUCGGGUUGUAAAGUACUUUCAGUCGUGAGGAAGGUGUUAAGGUUAAUAACCUUAGCAAUUGACGUUAGCGACAGAAGAAGCACCGGCUAACUCCGUGCCAGCAGCCGCGGUAAUACGGAGGGUGCGAGCGUUAAUCGGAAUUACUGGGCGUAAAGGGCACGCAGGCGGUUAAUUAAGUUGGAUGUGAAAUCCCCGGGCUUAACCUGGGAAUGGCAUUCAAGACUGGUUAGCUAGAGUCUUGUAGAGGGGGUAGAAUUCCAUGUGUAGCGGUGAAAUGCGUAGAGAUGUGGAGGAAUACCGGUGGCGAAGGCGGCCCCUGGACAAAGACUGACGCUCAUGUGCAAAAGCGUGGGGAGCAAACAGGGAUUAGAUACC